ACUGGGUAUUCAUUGUAGGGUCGA
This 24-nucleotide microRNA is filed under the name Daphnia magna. RNAcentral's name for it is "Dma-Mir-12607-v2_3p (mature (guide))". The record is from RNAcentral. Lineage: Eukaryota; Metazoa; Arthropoda; Branchiopoda; Diplostraca; Daphniidae.